RNAcentral lists this ribosomal RNA (237 nucleotides) under uncultured bacterium. Its description in RNAcentral is "partial 16S ribosomal RNA". It matches the Rfam family "Bacterial small subunit ribosomal RNA", at positions 57 to 305 of the family's 1533-position model. The record is from RNAcentral.
GCAAGUCGAACGAACCCUUCGGGGUUAGUGGCAGACGGGUGAGUAACGCGUGAGUAACGUGCCUUUUUUCUGGGGAUACCGUUUGGAAACGAACGUUAAUACCGAAUGUGCUCAUUUUACGGCAUCGUAGAAUGAGUAAACUGUUAGGGAGAAAAGAGCGACUCGCGUUCUAUCAGCUUGUUGGUGGGGUAACGGCCUACCAAGGCUACGACGGAUAACUGGUCUGAGAGGAUGAUC